UCUUAUCUGGUUUGAGUUCCCUAUGUACU
Molecule: non-coding RNA, 29 nt
Filed under: Rattus norvegicus (Norway rat)
Lineage: Eukaryota; Metazoa; Chordata; Mammalia; Rodentia; Muridae
Source: RNAcentral